Molecule: transfer RNA, 72 nt
Filed under: Strombomonas costata
Lineage: Eukaryota; Euglenozoa; Euglenophyceae; Euglenales; Euglenaceae
Description: tRNA-His
Rfam family: tRNA
About the family: Transfer RNA (tRNA) molecules are approximately 80 nucleotides in length. Their secondary structure includes four short double-helical elements and three loops (D, anti-codon, and T loops). Further hydrogen bonds mediate the characteristic L-shaped molecular structure. tRNAs have two regions of fundamental functional importance: the anti-codon, which is responsible for specific mRNA codon recognition, and the 3' end, to which the tRNAs corresponding amino acid is attached (by aminoacyl-tRNA synthetases). tRNAs cope with the degeneracy of the genetic code in two manners: having more than one tRNA (with a specific anti-codon) for a particular amino acid; and 'wobble' base-pairing, i.e. permitting non-standard base-pairing at the 3rd anti-codon position.
Source: RNAcentral
GUGAGUGUCGCCAAGUGGUAAGGCAAAGGAUUGUGGCUCCUUCACUCGCGGGUUCGAUUCCCGUCAUUCACC